UACGUAGGGUGCAAGCGUUGUCCGGAAUUAUUGGGCGUAAAGAGCUCGUAGGCGGUUCGUCGCGUCGGCUGUGAAAACCCGGAGCUCAACUCCGGGCCUGCAGUCGAUACGGGCGGACUAGAGUUCGGCAGGGGAGACUGGAAUUCCUGGUGUAGCGGUGAAAUGCGCAGAUAUCAGGAGGAACACCGGUGGCGAAGGCGGGUCUCUGGGCCGUUACUGACGCUGAGGAGCGAAAGCGUGGGGAGCGAACAGG
Molecule: ribosomal RNA, 253 nt
Filed under: uncultured bacterium
Lineage: Bacteria
Description: partial 16S ribosomal RNA
Rfam family: Bacterial small subunit ribosomal RNA
Source: RNAcentral